This 206-nucleotide ribosomal RNA is filed under the name Clostridium perfringens. RNAcentral describes it as "partial 16S ribosomal RNA". It matches the Rfam family "Bacterial small subunit ribosomal RNA", at positions 1 to 201 of the family's 1533-position model. The record is from RNAcentral. Lineage: Bacteria; Bacillati; Bacillota; Clostridia; Eubacteriales; Clostridiaceae.
UUUAAAUUGAGAGUUUGAUCCUGGCUCAGGAUGAACGCUGGCGGCGUGCUUAACACAUGCAAGUCGAGCGAUGAAGUUUCCUUCGGGAAACGGAUUAGCGGCGGACGGGUGAGUAACACGUGGGUAACCUGCCUCACAGAGUGGAAUAGCCUUCCGAAAGGAAGAUUAAUACCGCAUAACGUUGAAAGAUGGCAUCAUCAUUUAAC